This is a non-coding RNA of Podarcis lilfordi (Lilford's wall lizard), 2662 nucleotides long. Lineage: Eukaryota; Metazoa; Chordata; Lepidosauria; Squamata; Lacertidae. The record is from the annotation of a GenBank genome assembly.
UCUCACCCUUUAUAUGCCCAAUUGAUCACUGUGCUCUGCAGGUAAGGGCCUUCUGCAGGUAUCCUGUUAUCAAGAGGCCGUUCUGCACAACGGGCCUUUAGUGUUGUGGCACCUACCCUCUGGAAUGCCCUCCCCUUGAAUAUUACACAGGCACUGUCUUCUCUUGUCUUUUUUUGGAAAUUACUGAAGACCUUCAUCUUUCAAGAAGUCUUUCAAGGUGAACUGUUUCCCAGCCUGCAUCUUUAUUGGAUAUGUUUUUAAUUGCUUUAUCACUUGUUGCUCACCACCCUGGGCUCCUCUGGAAAGGUGUAGUCCAGAGCAGAGUGUCAGGUGGGCAGCCGGAGACAGCAGCAAGUGUUUUGCUGAUUUCCCAGUCCGCUGCCUGAGCUUGUUGUGCCCUCCAGAUGUUUUGGACUACAUCUGCCUACCAGCAUUCACAGUCUCCGGCCAUGCUGCCUGGGGCUGUAGUUCAAAACAUUUGGUGGGCCCAAGGUUGGGCAAAGCUAUCCUGGCUUCUGGUUUUAACCUUCUUCGGUCUCAAGAAGGGGCAUGAUGUAUCAGACAGAGCAGAGGCAGAGAGACUUCAAGUUUCCAGGAUCUACUGUGGUUGUUUUUAACUAGAAACACAGUCUCCCAACUAGAGUCAGUUACACAACUGCAGCUAAGGAAAUAACCUUAGAAUUAGUGAAGAAAUAGGACGCGUAUGACCACAUGCACAGCCUUAGGAGUUUGUUUUCAGUGCCAGAGUAGAACUGUCAAUCAUUCCACACAUAUGUCCGCUCCUGGUGCCCCCUCAAGCUUUUUCCAUGAGAGUAACUUAAUUCAAGGGACACGGGUGGUGCUGUGGGUUAAACCACAGAGCCUAGGACUUGCUGAUCAGAAGGUCAGCGGUUCGAAUCCCCACGAUGGGAUGAGCUCCUGUUGCUUGGUCCCUGCUCCUGCCCACCUAGCACUUCGAAAGCACAUCAAAAGUGCAAGUAGAUAAAUAGGUACCGCUCCGGCGGGAAUGUAAACGGCGUUUCUGUGCGCUGCUCUGGUUCGCCAGAAGCAGCUUAGUCAUGCUGGCCACAUGACCCGGAAGCUGUACGCUGGCUCCCUCGGCCAAUAAAGCGAGAUGAGCGCCGCAACCCCAGAGUUGGUCACGACUGGACCUAAUGGUCAGGGGUCCCUUUACCUUUACCUAACUUAAUUCAAGGGGAGUGGAAGAGGAUAACUUGUUUGUUCUUUUUAUUUUUUAUUUUUACAAUAUCAGGGUUGUGUGCAACAAUAAAGAAAACCCCCACACAAUUGAAGGCAACAAGGUGUUUCAGCAAUUGGAAGCAAGAAAUACUUGCUGAUCUACUGCAAAUGAUCUAGAGAUCUACCAGAAAGGAGCCCCCUGUCUACUGCUGACCCCUCAUGAGAUAGAUGCUGCAUCAUGGCCAGUCCAAUUCCAGCUAUGGCUACUCAGAUGAUUAAGAAGCAUGCAACAAACAGGGCAUUGUGGCAACAAACUGGUUGCUUGUUCAUCUGGUAUUCAGAUGCAUGCUGCCUCUCAACGUGGAUGGUUCAUUUAGCUAUCACAGCUAAUAGACAUCAAUAGACCUCUCUUCCAUGAAUUUGUCUACCUGUCUUCCAUGGACAAUAGAUCUAUCAAUGGCUGCUAGCUCAGCUAGAAGGAGAUGCUACUGAGGUAACUGGAUUUCCAUUCUGAGGCUUUUUGUGACAUUGCUAUGGGUAAAAGGACUUUGGGUCUAGUUAUAUUUUGAGCAAGCAACACAAAUGGCUUCAAAGACUGAAGGGUGACUGUGGACCAGAUCUGUAUGUGUUUGACCCCUCCAGGCAGAAGUGCUGAGACCUGGGCUUUGAAUCUGUGCUGUAUAUCCAGCCUGCAGUGCUGAACUCAAGAUGGGAGUGUGGGCAAAACACUGGGACUUGCUGGUAUGUGCUUGAAUCCCAUUCACAAAGUGGCUGCAUACUGGAAGUGGUCAGAGAAAGCUCAGAAGAGCAAAGAGUGAGGCUGGCAGGUUAUAUCCAACGGGCCCAGAUAACACUGAGAACCUACCGAGGCAAGCAAUUAUUAUUCCAUUGUACAGAUGUGGAAACUGAAGCUGUGAGGGAUGUGACGCACUUCAAGCUCAUGUUUCAGUGAAUUGGGGAGGCUUUGAACCAGUGUGUCCUGGAGCCGAUGCUAAUGCGUUAUCCACUAACAGUCAAACAUAUAUGUCGGUUUUGAAGCCUAAGCAAAAGGUGAAAUUCCAGGCAUUCUGCCCAGUUUAUCUUCCAUCCAGCAUUUGUUGAUGUUUGAUGAAGACUCUUGGGAUGCAGCUUGAUGAAAAUACAUCUAAAUAGAUUUCAUCUCGCCUCUGAUGCUAGCUAGCGGUGUUAAUCCCAGAAGAGACCAAACUAUCUUCUUUUUCUUUUCUUUUUCUUUAAACUUUUCCUUUUGUUUUCUUUCCCGGCCUCUUUAUCAGGAAGGGCAAAAUCAUUAUAUGCCUGCAAAUGAUGGAAGCCUUCGAGUGGGGAAGAUUUACCUUAGGCUGACAAACUGCUUGCCUUUGGAUCAUUGUCUGCUCUCUUACUCUGCGGGAGAUGAGCAGUCGAGUAGCGAAGAAAAUAUUUAAGUGAAGUUUUAUGAGGGAUUCCCUCCUGCGCAUUCACUUAAUUUGAUAUGAAAUGGCAG